CUGCAGUCGAGCGACAGAUAAGGAGCUUGCUCCUUUGACGUUAGCGGCGGACGGGUGAGUAACACGUGGGUAACCUACCUAUAAGACUGGGAUAACUUCGGGAAACCGGAGCUAAUACCGGAUAACAUUUGGAACCGCAUGGUUCUAAAGUGAAAGAUGGUUUUGCUAUCACUUAUAGAUGGACCCGCGCCGUAUUAGCUAGUUGGUAAGGUAAUGGCUUACCAAGGCGACGAUACGUAGCCGACCUGAGAGGGUGAUCGGCCACACUGGAACUGAGACACGGUCCAGACUCCUACGGGAGGCAGCAGUAGGGAAUCUUCCGCAAUGGGCGAAAGCCUGACGGAGCAACGCCGCGUGAGUGAUGAAGGGUUUCGGCUCGUAAAACUCUGUUAUUAGGGAAGAACAAACGUGUAAGUAACUAUGCACGUCUUGACGGUACCUAAUCAGAAAGCCACGGCUAACUACGUGCCAGCAGCCGCGGUAAUACGUAGGUGGCAAGCGUUAUCCGGAAUUAUUGGGCGUAAAGCGCGCGUAGGCGGUUUCUUAAGUCUGAUGUGAAAGCCCACGGCUCAACCGUGGAGGGUCAUUGGAAACUGGGAAACUUGAGUGCAGAAGAGGAAAGUGGAAUUCCAUGUGUAGCGGUGAAAUGCGCAGAGAUAUGGAGGAACACCAGUGGCGAAGGCGACUUUCUGGUCUGUAACUGACGCUGAUGUGCGAAAGCGUGGGGAUCAAACAGGAUUAGAUACCCUGGUAGUCCACGCCGUAAACGAUGAGUGCUAAGUGUUAGGGGUUUCCGCCCCUUAGUGCUGCAGCUAACGCAUUAAGCACUCCGCCUGGGGAGUACGACCGCAAGGUUGAAACUCAAAGGAAUUGACGGGGACCCGCACAAGCGGUGGACAUGUGGUUUAAUUCAAGCACAAACCUUACCAAAACUCCUUUGAAACCUAGAGAUAACUUCCCCUUCGGGAAAGGACGGGGUGCAUGCGUCAGCCGAAUUGGUCCCACACUAGCUUGCCUAGCCUAGGUGCC
Molecule: ribosomal RNA, 1029 nt
Filed under: Staphylococcus sp.
Lineage: Bacteria; Bacillati; Bacillota; Bacilli; Caryophanales; Staphylococcaceae
Description: bacterial SSU rRNA
Rfam family: Bacterial small subunit ribosomal RNA
Source: RNAcentral